UUUAAGUGCAGCCAUCAGUUUUCGUGUCUAACUUUGAUCAUUCGUCUUCUUUAUUUUUUUUAUAAUUAGUAUUUUUAUUGUUAUGAGAUGAUAAACCAUGAAUAGUACUUUAUGCAUGAGUUUUUUUAAAAGUUUUUUAAAAAAUCAACUAAGACAAACUAUAUUAAAGUUGGGCACGAAAAAUCAUGGUUGCACUUAAA
Non-coding RNA from Oryza glumipatula, 200 nucleotides. The record is from Rfam. Lineage: Eukaryota; Viridiplantae; Streptophyta; Magnoliopsida; Poales; Poaceae.